RNAcentral lists this small RNA (285 nucleotides) under chicken gut metagenome. Its description in RNAcentral is "5' ureB small RNA". It matches the Rfam family "5' ureB small RNA". The record is from RNAcentral.
CUGCUGCGGGGAAAUAAAGUGAAUAUGGGUAUCCAGGCCGCCGGCUGUCACGAUCAGACCUUCGCCUGCCAGUGCUUCUGUGGAAGCUCCCACCGUCAUGCCCGGCGUCACGCCGUCCAUCACCGACGGAUUUCCGGCUUUUCCGAUUCCGGCGAUUUUUCCGUCCUUGAUUCCGAUAUCCGCCUUAUAGAUUCCGGUAUAGUCCACGAUCAGAGCGUUCGUGAUCACCAGAUCCAGGUCGCCGUCGGCGCUGGUGGUUUUUACCGACUGUCCCAUACCGUCCCG